CUUGAGGCUUCUGGAGCUGGGAAUUGAUAUUUUGGAAUUGAAAUUGGACUCUCUCCCGUCAGCUUCGGAUCUUUCCAUAUACUCCACCACACGCGGCUUUCCAUCUCCUUCUCCUUCAAUUUCUUCAAAUUCUCCCUCUCUCUCGCUCUGUCGAACACCUUCCUUGCAAUCAACCUCUCGGUCUCUUCACAGGAAAGAAGAAGAAGAAGAAGAAGAAGAGGAAAAGGAAAGGGGGUUACACACCAGUGUACAUGGAUGAAAUUUCUCGGAAAAGGUCUGUGGGUGGGCUUCCAGUCUCUAGAAAGGGAUCAAGUCUUGUUUUGAGAGAUACAGCGGACAAUAGGGACCAAAAUGCUCAGUUUUGCAAUCGCCUUGGGUGCAGUGGCAGGCUUAAAUCCAUGAGAAGUACACAAUCUGGCUAUCUGGAAAAACCCAAAUCUCAGAGGCCAUUAUUCCGUUCAUCCUCAAAUGGCAAGGAAAUAAUUGGAAGUUCAUCUAGGACUUGCUCCAUGGUUAGCAACUCAAGAAAAUAUUUCCUGGCAUCUCGGAAGAAAACACCUUCUCAAAUGGAAACUGACUCAUCUGAAUCUAGCAGUGUUCAGGAUGAGUCAGAUGCUUUGGAACUAUCACCCUCUGGAAAGAUUGAAACAGGCCUUCCCCCUCAACUGCUAGAUGCUGAUUCUGGUGAUGUUACACUGAUGGAAGUAGGGAGUUCUAGUGUUACGUCGAACACAAGACCUCGGAAGAAUAUUCAUCAAAAAUCUAGAUUGGGCAACCAGGAAACUACAAUUGGUUCCUCUGUUUCACUGGCAUCUAGAAGCACACCCCAAGGAGGAAGAUAUGGUGCUAAUGCAAGUAGGUAUAAUCUAAGAAAUCUGAGGUGCAAUUCAAUAUCUGAUGUUAUCCCACCAGGUUUUUCAUCAUCAGAAACAAGCCUCAGCAGGGGGAAGGACACUCUAAAAAAGAUUAAUCCUGAAGGAGGAAGUAGCUCCUCCGCUAAGGGGAAAAAGAUAAGUGGACUGUCAUCAUUGGAGGAGAAACGGAUUUCCAGUUCUAGUCAUGGCAUCUCAAUUUCUGAUUCAAGAAGACCCAGAAAUUGGCUUCCUAGCAACAGGGAUAAUAAUAUUGGAUCAGUUAGAACUCGCAGAUCAAUUAAUGAUAACGCCAGGGUGAGGCUCUCUAACCCAAGAAAUUUGAAUAAUUUAUCAUCAACCGUGUCUCCUGUUGUGAUUCCACAUGGAAUAGCUGGCAGUGCCAAUGCUCCUAGUUUAUCACACCAAUUCUCUGCAGAAAGUUCUGCAACUCAGCCUAAUUCUUGCAGCCAACCGAGUAGUAGGAGUGAGAAUGUACGUAAUAUAAUGUCAUUUGGUCCUGCAGAGGUUGGCUUCACCCGCACUUCAAUGAAUCGGGAUGCCAUGCAUCAUUAUAGCAUGGAUGGGAUUGCAGAGGUAUUGUUGGCACUCGAGAGGAUUGAACAAGAUGAAAUAACAUAUGAGCAAUUACUUAUUCUUCAGACAAAUUUGUUCCUCAAUGGAUUAGCCUUCCAUGAUCAGCAUAGGGACUUGAGACUAGAUAUCGAGAACAUGUCAUAUGAGGAAUUAUUAGAUCUUGAAGAGAGGAUGGGCACAGUCAGCACAGCUCUUUCAGAAGAAGCAUUGUCUAAAUGCCUCAGAAGAAGCAUAUAUCAGUGUGCAUCUCCCGAGACAGAAGUCAUUGGCUGUAGUGGGGAUUAUGACGACAUUAAAUGCAGCAUCUGUCAGGAAGAGUAUUCAGAUGGAGAUGAAGUGGGGAGACUGCAAUGCGAGCAUAGGUUUCAUGUGGUCUGCAUACAACAAUGGCUGCAGCUGAAGAACUGGUGCCCUAUCUGCAAAGCUUCGGCCGCAACCUCAGCUUAAAAAUUCAAACCCGGCUCUUCUGGGAAGACUGACCUCUUUGUACAAGUCUCUGCAGGUGAUUCAGGUAAGCGAGCAUACCAGACUCGCAGAUAGAGGGGUUUCAGUACUGCCCUGUCAGAGAGAGAGAGUGAGUAUAUUUUUGGGAAUAUUUUUGUAUACCCCUCACCGGUUGAGGAAAUUGGGGAAACAGUGAUAUGUAUAUAUUUUGGGGAAACAUGUUAGCACUCUGGUAUUGUAUUGUAUUUAUUCACAUAUGGUUAUGUUUAUAUGAUUUCUGCU
This is an RNA transcript of Malania oleifera, 2174 nucleotides long. It is a transcript of the gene named E3 ubiquitin-protein ligase MBR1-like, with no coding region annotated. Lineage: Eukaryota; Viridiplantae; Streptophyta; Magnoliopsida; Santalales; Ximeniaceae. The transcript has 7 exons. The record is from RefSeq and is a predicted model, not a curated record.